Long non-coding RNA from Canis lupus familiaris (dog), 1373 nucleotides. RefSeq lists it as uncharacterized. NCBI's taxonomy places the organism in Eukaryota, Metazoa, Chordata, Mammalia, Carnivora, Canidae. The record is from RefSeq and is a predicted model, not a curated record. The transcript is spliced from 5 exons.
CUGCCAGGUCUGAGGGAUUUGCUGUUUUUCAGGACAUCUGAGCUGCAAUCUCUUUCGAGCUGUCUAGCAGUCUCCGUCUCGCUCUCUCUCACUCUCUCAGCAUGAUGGAGAUAGAGUUGAAAGGUGGAGCCCGAUUUUGCAUUCCAGCUGUGAUUAAAGACACAGGCACACAUCCUGGGAGAUAAUGCGCUGCAUAUUCAUUAUGCUAUCUAGAACCUCUUUAGCUACUGGGACACGACUGUCAUACAAUUACAAUAUGCCUUCUCCAGGAGUAAAGGGGGGGUUGGGAUGGAGAAGAUCAGAGAACAACAGAGACGGAGAAUAUGAAGAAUUAAGAUGCAUGAGACGUAUCUUGUAAUAAAGAUAUGGAGCGAUAUUAAAACUAGCAGUUGUAUCCAUUUCAUGGCAACAUGUCAAGAUGACUUAACAGAGAAGGAUAAAACAUCUGGCCUGGGGGGAAAAAAUACAUGAUGUCGAAUUUCCAAAUCAUAACGUGGACUCUGUGGAAGAAAAACAACAGAUAAGCAACUGUGUACCUUCCCAAUAAGUGAAAGCAUGUGGAAAUUUUCCUUAUACUCUGCAAUCAGAAAAAGCAGAGCCAUCUCAUCAGGUGGAGAUGGAGACAAAUGCAGUGCCCAGAGAUGCCUUAGACCAGUGUCACUUCUCCACGGGAGAUUCAGACUUGGCACUGCCCUAUCAUGGGACACUUGGGAUCAACAUUUAGAUGCUUGAUAUGAGUGGAAGGAAUCUGCAACAUUCUUUUGUGAGACUCGGAAUCUCAUCAAGAAUGUAUCUGACUACACGGAAAACUGAUUUUCUUUUGGCUCCUAAAUGACAAGCCUUCAUUAUGCAAUGAGCACGUCCCUGGAGAAAGCAUUCUCUACACACCGAUAGAGAGAAGUUGGGGCAGAGAUGGAAGGAGGAGGCUCUCCCUUCUUUGGGGCCAGAAGAGGGUUCAGAAAUCCCGUUUCUACUCCUGAAAGAAACGCAUUUAUUUCUCUCAACCCCAAUAGGUCCAGGAAAAGGAAAGCAGAGUCACUGACAGUGAUACUGGAAUCCCUCCUUGUUUGAUUUGGCCACAAGUUCUUCUGUAGCUAUUGUUUGCCGUGUGUUCAGGCACAAGUUGCCAUGGUCAAUGGAAGGAAAUACAAAGAUACAGAGUGAAGCAAAAGAUAAAGUAAUGUUCACUGAGCGCCUACUAUCCAGGCUAGGUGCAUCUGACGAUCUCUUUUAAUCCUCACAGAUACCCUAUGAGGUAGAGAUUCUAAUACCCAUUUUACAGAUGAUGAAACUAAAGCUCUAAGAUUUGCCCAUGAUCUGAUAACUGACUGGUAGGUGGUAGGAUGGAGAAUAAACUCAGAUCCAUCUGUCUG